AACGAUUCGUCCACGCCGUCUUCCUUUCGUCGGAGCAGUGGAAGGAGCGCCGGGGAGGGGGACACUCCACGGCGGCGGUGCUUGGGGCUCCGACGAGCGGAGGCGAGCGGCGAGGGGAGAAGCUCCGCCAUCAGCCAUGGCCGUUGUGGCUUCGCGUGCGCCCGCGAGCGGCUGCGCGUGGCUGGAUGAUGCGCGCGCGGCCGCCGAGCUUCGCCGACCGGACUCCUCUCGUUGCAGCAGCCACGCCGCCGUCUCACCAAGGCUAGGGAAAAGGGGAUCCAUGGAGAUGAGGAACUAAGGUGGAGAUGCGGCGAGGCGGAGAAGGAGUGCAGAUGAAGGGCGGCUUGGGGCUCGUGGCAGACCGGAUCCAGCUAGGGGGGGGGGGGGGGGGGGGUCGGAUUCGUCGGCUGGCGACGCGAGGAGCUCACGGCGGAGCUCCAGCGCCAUGGCUCCGGCAGGAGACGUGGCGCACGGCGGCGACGGCGGCUCUCCUCAGGAGGAUCUCGGGCAUUGAGAGGUUGGGCUGUGUGCUGCCCCAAGGACAGAGCCCACCGACUGCUCGUCAUGGGCCACCACCACCACGCCUUCGACGGGAUACGACCUCCACCACUCCAGCGAGCAGGAGCAUCGUGGUGGCUGCGGUCUAUUGAAAUCUUAGUUUCUUCAUCUUCUUUGAGAUUAUGUUUUGUUUGCAUCUGAUAAUUGGGAUGACCUCCUUUCUUUCAGGUUUGUACUGUUAAUUAAGAUGAACUUGAGUGACGAGGAUGAUUUAGAAAAUUAUAUCUUCUGACCAGAUAAAAUCAGUGUUGCCGAUCUGAGUUGAUUUUUUUGAUAAAGGGAGCUUUAAGAUGUUAGUUGAUUUGGAAGAUUAUGUCUCUAGACCGGAUAAAAUCUGUGCUGCUGAUGUGAGUUGAUUUGGAAGAUUAUGUCUUCAGACCGGAUAAAAUCAGUGUUGCUGAUGAAGUUGGCAUGCAUGCUGUCUGCAAAAAUCGGUAUGCUAUCCCCCAAGGAAUUCGAGAAGGGUUACCGAACCAACUUCCAGAAGCUUUAGACAGACUUUGACUUCUACAAAUGACGCAACAAACUGUUAAAGAGGAUGCUUUAUUUCAUACGGGUGACAAUUAUUAACACUAGAGUUGAAUUUGUGGACAGUCGCCUCUCACAGUAAUAUCCUUGUAUAUUGGUGCUCCUAUAGUGUGCACAUUCAGUCUCAUCGGUGUUGUUAAGCUACUUGCCUGUACAAUUCCACGGAGCUCGAGUGUCAUGGGAGUUGAUUCCCUGCAAGAGAGAAGAAUUCAAAAGGGAGAGAAGAAGGAAAAGGAUAGGGCGGCGGGGUCGUGGGUACAUGCGCGCACUAAAGGAUGCAGACGAAUGGCUCGGGCAGGACCACAGGAGACGUGGUGCACGGCGGCGGCGGCUCUCCUCGGGAGGAGCUCUGGCGUUGAGAGAGGUUGAAGAGAAUAAGUAAGGCCAAUCUUUGAGCAGGAGAGUGAAAAGAUCCAAGAGUGAUACAUCCAAGCACUUGAUUUGAGUCAAACUUGGUUUGCUGUACAGAAUUCCACCAUAUUUGUCCACACAAAUAGUUCUUGAUAUUUAGUUCAGAUUGUUUUUCUCCAUAGUUCAGUGUCUACAUCUGUAUUCUCCUAAUAUAGUCAUACUGUCCAUUUUAUAAA
This is a long non-coding RNA of Triticum aestivum (bread wheat), 1673 nucleotides long. RefSeq lists it as uncharacterized. NCBI's taxonomy places the organism in Eukaryota, Viridiplantae, Streptophyta, Magnoliopsida, Poales, Poaceae. The record is from RefSeq and is a predicted model, not a curated record. The transcript is spliced from 4 exons.